This is a long non-coding RNA of Aphis gossypii (cotton aphid), 371 nucleotides long. RefSeq lists it as uncharacterized. The record is from RefSeq and is a predicted model, not a curated record. The transcript is spliced from 2 exons. Lineage: Eukaryota; Metazoa; Arthropoda; Insecta; Hemiptera; Aphididae.
CAUUAUUUUAAUUUUCAUGAUUUUUUUUUUUGUGUUUGUUUUAAAUUACAUAAAUUAAAUCUACCUACUUAUAUUAUUUUGUAUACCUGCCAUAUUUCAUUUAACAGCAGCCAAUAUUAUAUAUGAUGUGUCGCUUAGAAAAUGGUUUACUAUUUCAGUAAUAUAAUGUAUUUUUGUGGGAUGCACGGAGACGAUAUUUACUGGAGGAAUAGAAGGAUUAUCAAUGUAAGGGCAACCAGGAAUUACUGGAUAUCUUAUUAUCAGAUUACGUAUAGUAUUGUUUGAUAAUUAAUACAUAAAUGUUGAUAAUUACACGUGCAAAUUAUCAUUGUUCAAAAAUGUUUUAAAUAUAAUUCCAUGUCUGUAAUUGU